GGAGGAAUGGCAGAGUGGUCGAUUGCGGCAGUCUUGAAAACUGUUGACUGUAACAGGUCCCGGGGUUCGAAUCCCUGUUCCUCCGCC
Molecule: transfer RNA, 87 nt
Filed under: bioreactor metagenome
Description: tRNA-Ser
Rfam family: tRNA
About the family: Transfer RNA (tRNA) molecules are approximately 80 nucleotides in length. Their secondary structure includes four short double-helical elements and three loops (D, anti-codon, and T loops).
Source: RNAcentral